Molecule: ribosomal RNA, 451 nt
Filed under: uncultured organism
Description: partial 16S ribosomal RNA
Rfam family: Bacterial small subunit ribosomal RNA
Source: RNAcentral
ACACUCCUGCGGGAGGCAGCAGUGGGGAAUAUUGGACAAUGGGCGCAAGCCUGAUCCAGCCAUGCCGCGUGAGUGAUGAAGGCCCUAGGGUUGUAAAGCUCUUUCACCGGUGAAGAUAAUGACGGUAACCGGAGAAGAAGCCCCGGCUAACUUCGUGCCAGCAGCCGCGGUAAUACGAAGGGGGCUAGCGUUGUUCGGAUUUACUGGGCGUAAAGCGCACGUAGGCGGACUAUUAAGUCAGGGGUGAAAUCCCGGGGCUCAACCCCGGAACUGCCUUUGAUACUGGUAGUCUUGAGUUCGAGAGAGGUGAGUGGAAUUCCGAGUGUAGAGGUGAAAUUCGUAGAUAUUCGGAGGGACACCAGUGGCGAAGGCGGCUCACUGGCUCGAUACUGACGCUGAGGUGCGAAAGCGUGGGGAGCAAACAGGAUUAGAUACCCGGGUAGUCCCAUGA